GAACAUCCAACAAGCGCAUAGGCAGGAAGGUUGAAUAGUUGCAGGAAGGGACUGGUGACCCUGCUUGCACAUACAUUUAUUCAUAUGCACGUCAUACACGCACGCAUACAGCCGUCAGCAAAAUGUACACUUUUAUACAAACCUACAAACAUGAAAACAUGCAAAACAUAAAUCAAACAAAGCUCCCUGACAGUGAACCUCAUAAAUACGGGCUUCUCAUAUAUGGGCUUCUACACAGGGAAAAGAAUAUGUAGCGGUCUGAACUAGCGGUCUGAACUACCCAUAACCGUUUCUACAAAAAAGACAAAAAAAUAUUGCAUGAUGAGCCGUGCUUUUUUUUGCGAUCAGCUACGUCAGUAGUUCACGCAUUGCGUUCACAUUAGCAAGAAGUCACAUUAGAUUAUUUUUACUCGAAAACCGUGAAACAUCGAAUGGCGCUACCUGCGUAACGACAAUGUGUAACACCAGGCAAUUACAAAGAGUACUCAGGGAGAUGCCAAGGGAGCUGAACCCUUCUUACACAAUGCAAGGCGAUAAUGUACGCACAUACAUACCAUUUGAGUCACUGCUGCCACUAGUCGCACGAACACAGACCAGCUGACCGGGAGUAAGGCCCGGCGAGCACGGAACUGAGGGGUUCAAGACCAGGAAAUCCACAGGGUCCCAUUCGCCCGCAUUCG
Molecule: long non-coding RNA, 680 nt
Filed under: Volvox carteri
Lineage: Eukaryota; Viridiplantae; Chlorophyta; Chlorophyceae; Chlamydomonadales; Volvocaceae
Description: long non-coding RNA (VCAR_LNC002590)
Source: RNAcentral